This 492-nucleotide ribosomal RNA is filed under the name Microbacterium schleiferi. RNAcentral's name for it is "bacterial SSU rRNA". It matches the Rfam family "Bacterial small subunit ribosomal RNA", at positions 152 to 658 of the family's 1533-position model. The record is from RNAcentral. Lineage: Bacteria; Bacillati; Actinomycetota; Actinomycetes; Micrococcales; Microbacteriaceae.
GGAAACGGCGUCUAAUACCGGAUACGAGCUGCGAUCGCAUGGUCAGUAGCUGGAAAGAAUUUCGGUCAGGGAUGAGCUCGCGGCCUAUCAGCUUGUUGGUGAGGUAAUGGCUCACCAAGGCGUCGACGGGUAGCCGGCCUGAGAGGGUGACCGGCCACACUGGGACUGAGACACGGCCCAGACUCCUACGGGAGGCAGCAGUGGGGAAUAUUGCACAAUGGGCGAAAGCCUGAUGCAGCAACGCCGCGUGAGGGAUGACGGCCUUCGGGUUGUAAACCUCUUUUAGCAGGGAAGAAGCGAAAGUGACGGUACCUGCAGAAAAAGCGCCGGCUAACUACGUGCCAGCAGCCGCGGUAAUACGUAGGGCGCAAGCGUUAUCCGGAAUUAUUGGGCGUAAAGAGCUCGUAGGCGGUCUGUCGCGUCUGCUGUGAAAACCCGAGGCUCAACCUCGGGCCUGCAGUGGGUACGGGCAGACUAGAGUGCGGUAGGGGA